RNAcentral lists this small RNA (258 nucleotides) under Nomascus leucogenys (northern white-cheeked gibbon). Its description in RNAcentral is "Metazoan signal recognition particle RNA (ENSNLEG00000031635.1)". Lineage: Eukaryota; Metazoa; Chordata; Mammalia; Primates; Hylobatidae. The record is from RNAcentral.
GCUGGGCAUGGUGGUGCACACCUGUAAUCCCAGCUACUUGGGAGGCUGAGGCGGGAGAAUCGCUUGAACCUGGGAGAUGGAGGUUUCAGUGAGCCGAGAUCGGCCCACUGCACUCCAGCCUGGGUGACAGAGCGAGACUGUGUCUCAAAAAAAAAAACAGAGCCAGGGUCUCACUCUGUUGCCCAGGCUGGAGUGCAGUGGUAUAGUCGUAGCUCACUGAAACCUCAAACUCUUGGGUUCAAGUGAUCCUCCCACCUA